CGACGCCUGCGCCUCUGGCGUCUGUAUUGCCACCUCUGGCCCCGGCGCCACCAAUGUGGUCUCCGGACUCGCCGAUGCCCUGCUCGACAGUGUUCCAGGAAACCCCAUCGUCGUCGAAGCCUGCCGCCGUUUUCUGCAAUUUCUGCCAUCAAGGUAGAAUCCCUAAUUUUAUUCAUCCCCUUGAGCUAAUCUCACUCUAAAGCCCUAAUUUCGUUCAUCCCCUACAGCUACGCCCCCAUUAUAUUAUUUUGUUGUUAGAUUUAUGAACUUAGAGCUGGUUGGUAACAAUAUGAAUUAGUUUAGGGCUUUUGCUUGAAUUUUGGAAUGAGUUCUAAUGUCAGGACUGGGCUGAUUAUAUUGCAGCCUGAAUUCAUCAUGCCAUCCUUGAUCGUCUUCCAUCCUUGAUCCUUCUUCUUUAUCUAAUUGCUCUCUCUCUCUCUCUCUCUCUCUCUCUCUCUAACAAUGUGUCUUCCUUACCCCCAGCCGAUUGCAGCUGCUUCACCAUUGCCCAGUGUGAUUUUUUUUCCUUGCAUUAUCUGUCUCUAAAUGUGAGAUUGAGCUAUUUUGUGUUAGAUUUCUGAAAAUUUGCAGCUUUUCUUUGUGUGUGUGGAUGAACUUGAAUUUGGUGUGAAUGAAUUUGAAAUUGGUGUUGUUGUUGAGGCUAUUGUACCUAUGGCAUCUUGUAUUCCAUGUGCAGCAGCUAAGGUGGUUACUUAAAUCUUCUCUUGAUUUUGAAGUAUAUUAUUUAAGGCAAGAGAGAGAAUGCUCUUAUCUUUUCAUAGUGAAAAUAUAGCUGAACUGAGUACUUAUUAUCUUCUGCAGUAAUAGUCAAUGCUAAAAGCUCAUACCACCAAGUCCUGCUAUCUUUUUUUUUUUCACCAGUCUCUCUCUAUAAUCAUUUGUAGCGGAUGCUUCUUUAAUUGACAUUGCCAUAGCAACAAUGGCUUUGGGUCUUUCAGAAAAUUGGGGCCACAGUUGUUUUGCAUCUGCAGGGAUGUACGUGCAACAUCAUAUGCUGAUUGCCAUGGAUGGAACUAGCCGACUAGCUUCCCUGCAGUUUAUUGCUGGUAAAUCAUGCAAAUUCGGUUGCUGGCUUAAUGGUAUGUAGCAUCUCCUUAUAUGAUAGGUUGAUAUGGGCAUCAUCUUUUUGGCCACAGUAACUUGUUCCGGUCAUUGCUUCAUUCUGUUAUAUUGUUCUGCAAACUAGAACGCUGGCAUUUUCUUUGUAUGAACAUUUAGCUAGUUUUGCUUCGUGAUAGCAUCUGACAUUCUGGGCAGAACAUUUGAUGCAGAUGCACAAACAAUUCUAGCUCGCGAAGGAAAUAUUGAUUUAUCAUUUUUCCAAAGGUCAUUACAGGGGUGGAAGUCUAAAAUAGUGGAGGUCUAAUCGUUGCUUGGCUAUUGCAACCAGUGGAGGUCUAAACCAGCAAAGGACCGGGGUGGAAGUCUAAAAUAGUGGAGGUCUAAUCAUUCUUUCACUUAUUAAUUGAUUUUUUUCUAUUGGAGUAUCAUGAUGCUCUACAUUGUGAUUCUUGGUUGGCUCUUUGUAUGAUUUUGUGGCAGGUUUGUGGUGGAUUAAAUGAGUCGUACGUUGAGCUGGAGAUACUUGUGAAUUCACAAGAAAAUUGUACCAGAUGGCUAGCUAGUUGCAUAUUUAAUAUGUUUAAUAUUUUUGUAAGGCAUAAUAGUAUAGAUAGAGCAGUUGUUGAAUUUUGACUAUAUUCAAAUCUUGUAUGAAUUCUUUUUUAUGAUAAUAAUAUAAAAUUAAAUAUUUUGGA
Molecule: long non-coding RNA, 1778 nt
Organism: Salvia miltiorrhiza (redroot sage)
Lineage: Eukaryota; Viridiplantae; Streptophyta; Magnoliopsida; Lamiales; Lamiaceae
Exons: 3
Source: RefSeq, a predicted model, not a curated record